RNAcentral lists this ribosomal RNA (520 nucleotides) under uncultured Glomus. Its description in RNAcentral is "SSU rRNA". It matches the Rfam family "Eukaryotic small subunit ribosomal RNA", at positions 569 to 1091 of the family's 1831-position model. Lineage: Eukaryota; Fungi; Glomeromycota; Glomeromycetes; Glomerales; Glomeraceae. The record is from RNAcentral.
AGCAGCCGCGGUAAUUCCAGCUCCAAUAGCGUAUAUUAAAGUUGUUGCAGUUAAAAAGCUCGUAGUUGAAUUUCGGGGUCAGUAGGUUGGUCGUGCCACUGGUAUGUACUGGCCUCACUGAUUCCUCCUUCUUGUAGAACCGUAAUGCCAUUAAUUUGGUGUUGCGGGGAAACAGGACUGUUACUUUGAAAAAAUUAGAGUGUUUAAAGCAGGCUAACGCUUGAAUACAUUAGCAUGGGAUAAUGAAAUAGGACGUUCGAUCCUAUUUUGUUGGUUUCUAGGAUUGACGUAAUGAUUAAUAGGGAUAGUUGGGGGCAUUAGUAUUCAAUUGUCAGAGGUGAAAUUCUUGGAUUUAUUGAAGACUAACUACUGCGAAAGCAUUUGCCAAGGAUGUUUUCAUUAAUCAAGAACGAAAGUUAGGGGAUCGAGGACGAUCAGAUACCGUCGUAGUCUUAACCAUAAACUAUGCCGACUAGGGAUCGGAUGAUGUUAAUUUUUAAUGACUCAUUCGGCGCCUUAC